AUACGUAGGGAGCGAGCGUUGUCCGGAAUUACUGGGUGUAAAGGGUGCGUAGGCGGGAUGGCAAGUCAGAUGUGAAAUACAUGGGCUCAACCCAUGGGCGGCAUUUGAAACUGCAUUUCUUGAGUGAAGUAGAGGUAAGCGGAAUUCCUGGUGUAGCGGUGAAAUGCGUAGAUAUCAGGAGGAACACCGGUGGCGAAGGCGGCUUACUGGGCUUUUACUGACGCUGAGGCUCGAAAGCGUGGGGAGCAAACAGGAUUAGAUACCCUGGUAGUCCACGCUGUAAACGAUGAUUACUAGGUGUGGGGGGACUGACCCCUUCCGUGCCGCAGUUAACACAAUAAGUAAUCCACCUGGGGAGUACGGCCGCAAGGUUGAAACUUAAAGGAAUUGACGGGG
Molecule: ribosomal RNA, 396 nt
Filed under: uncultured bacterium
Lineage: Bacteria
Description: partial 16S ribosomal RNA
Rfam family: Bacterial small subunit ribosomal RNA
Source: RNAcentral